RNAcentral lists this ribosomal RNA (2903 nucleotides) under Escherichia coli. RNAcentral describes it as "bacterial LSU rRNA". It matches the Rfam family "Bacterial large subunit ribosomal RNA". RNAcentral also lists the same sequence under 3 other names. Lineage: Bacteria; Pseudomonadati; Pseudomonadota; Gammaproteobacteria; Enterobacterales; Enterobacteriaceae. The record is from RNAcentral.
UUAAGCGACUAAGCGUACACGGUGGAUGCCCUGGCAGUCAGAGGCGAUGAAGGACGUGCUAAUCUGCGAUAAGCGUCGGUAAGGUGAUAUGAACCGUUAUAACCGGCGAUUUCCGAAUGGGGAAACCCAGUGUGAUUCGUCACACUAUCAUUAACUGAAUCCAUAGGUUAAUGAGGCGAACCGGGGGAACUGAAACAUCUAAGUACCCCGAGGAAAAGAAAUCAACCGAGAUUCCCCCAGUAGCGGCGAGCGAACGGGGAGGAGCCCAGAGCCUGAAUCAGUGUGUGUGUUAGUGGAAGCGUCUGGAAAGGCGCGCGAUACAGGGUGACAGCCCCGUACACAAAAAUGCACAUGCUGUGAGCUCGAUGAGUAGGGCGGGACACGUGGUAUCCUGUCUGAAUAUGGGGGGACCAUCCUCCAAGGCUAAAUACUCCUGACUGACCGAUAGUGAACCAGUACCGUGAGGGAAAGGCGAAAAGAACCCCGGCGAGGGGAGUGAAAAAGAACCUGAAACCGUGUACGUACAAGCAGUGGGAGCACAGAGCAAUCUGUGUGACUGCGUACCUUUUGUAUAAUGGGUCAGCGACUUAUAUUCUGUAGCAAGGUUAACCGAAUAGGGGAGCCGAAGGGAAACCGAGUCUUAACCGGGCGUUAAGUUGCAGGGUAUAGACCCGAAACCCGGUGAUCUAGCCAUGGGCAGGUUGAAGGUUGGGUAACACUAACUGGAGGACCGAACCGACUAAUGUUGAAAAAUUAGCGGAUGACUUGUGGCUGGGGGUGAAAGGCCAAUCAAACCGGGAGAUAGCUGGUUCUCCCCGAAAGCUAUUUAGGUAGCGCCUCGUGAAUUCAUCUCCGGGGGUAGAGCACUGUUUCGGCAAGGGGGUCAUCCCGACUUACCAACCCGAUGCAAACUGCGAAUACCGGAGAAUGUUAUCACGGGAGACACACGGCGGGUGCUAACGUCCGUCGUGAAGAGGGAAACAACCCAGACCGCCAGCUAAGGUCCCAAAGUCAUGGUUAAGUGGGAAACGAUGUGGGAAGGCCCAGACAGCCAGGAUGUUGGCUUAGAAGCAGCCAUCAUUUAAAGAAAGCGUAAUAGCUCACUGGUCGAGUCGGCCUGCGCGGAAGAUGUAACGGGGCUAAACCAUGCACCGAAGCUGCGGCAGCGACACUGUGUGUUGUUGGGUAGGGGAGCGUUCUGUAAGCCUGUGAAGGUGUACUGUGAGGUAUGCUGGAGGUAUCAGAAGUGCGAAUGCUGACAUAAGUAACGAUAAAGCGGGUGAAAAGCCCGCUCGCCGGAAGACCAAGGGUUCCUGUCCAACGUUAAUCGGGGCAGGGUGAGUCGACCCCUAAGGCGAGGCCGAAAGGCGUAGUCGAUGGGAAACAGGUUAAUAUUCCUGUACUUGGUGUUACUGCGAAGGGGGGACGGAGAAGGCUAUGUUGGCCGGGCGACGGUUGUCCCGGUUUAAGCGUGUAGGCUGGUUUUCCAGGCAAAUCCGGAAAAUCAAGGCUGAGGCGUGAUGACGAGGCACUACGGUGCUGAAGCAACAAAUGCCCUGCUUCCAGGAAAAGCCUCUAAGCAUCAGGUAACAUCAAAUCGUACCCCAAACCGACACAGGUGGUCAGGUAGAGAAUACCAAGGCGCUUGAGAGAACUCGGGUGAAGGAACUAGGCAAAAUGGUGCCGUAACUUCGGGAGAAGGCACGCUGAUAUGUAGGUGAAGUCCCUCGCGGAUGGAGCUGAAAUCAGUCGAAGAUACCAGCUGGCUGCAACUGUUUAUUAAAAACACAGCACUGUGCAAACACGAAAGUGGACGUAUACGGUGUGACGCCUGCCCGGUGCCGGAAGGUUAAUUGAUGGGGUCAGCGCAAGCGAAGCUCUUGAUCGAAGCCCCGGUAAACGGCGGCCGUAACUAUAACGGUCCUAAGGUAGCGAAAUUCCUUGUCGGGUAAGUUCCGACCUGCACGAAUGGCGUAAUGAUGGCCAGGCUGUCUCCACCCGAGACUCAGUGAAAUUGAACUCGCUGUGAAGAUGCAGUGUACCCGCGGCAAGACGGAAAGACCCCGUGAACCUUUACUAUAGCUUGACACUGAACAUUGAGCCUUGAUGUGUAGGAUAGGUGGGAGGCUUUGAAGUGUGGACGCCAGUCUGCAUGGAGCCGACCUUGAAAUACCACCCUUUAAUGUUUGAUGUUCUAACGUGGACCCGUGAUCCGGGUUGCGGACAGUGUCUGGUGGGUAGUUUGACUGGGGCGGUCUCCUCCUAAAGAGUAACGGAGGAGCACGAAGGUUGGCUAAUCCUGGUCGGACAUCAGGAGGUUAGUGCAAUGGCAUAAGCCAGCUUGACUGCGAGCGUGACGGCGCGAGCAGGUGCGAAAGCAGGUCAUAGUGAUCCGGUGGUUCUGAAUGGAAGGGCCAUCGCUCAACGGAUAAAAGGUACUCCGGGGAUAACAGGCUGAUACCGCCCAAGAGUUCAUAUCGACGGCGGUGUUUGGCACCUCGAUGUCGGCUCAUCACAUCCUGGGGCUGAAGUAGGUCCCAAGGGUAUGGCUGUUCGCCAUUUAAAGUGGUACGCGAGCUGGGUUUAGAACGUCGUGAGACAGUUCGGUCCCUAUCUGCCGUGGGCGCUGGAGAACUGAGGGGGGCUGCUCCUAGUACGAGAGGACCGGAGUGGACGCAUCACUGGUGUUCGGGUUGUCAUGCCAAUGGCACUGCCCGGUAGCUAAAUGCGGAAGAGAUAAGUGCUGAAAGCAUCUAAGCACGAAACUUGCCCCGAGAUGAGUUCUCCCUGACCCUUUAAGGGUCCUGAAGGAACGUUGAAGACGACGACGUUGAUAGGCCGGGUGUGUAAGCGCAGCGAUGCGUUGAGCUAACCGGUACUAAUGAACCGUGAGGCUUAACCUU